This 244-nucleotide long non-coding RNA is filed under the name Ananas comosus (pineapple). Its description in RNAcentral is "long non-coding RNA (ACOM_LNC043011)". The record is from RNAcentral. Lineage: Eukaryota; Viridiplantae; Streptophyta; Magnoliopsida; Poales; Bromeliaceae.
GAGCGACCCUCACAAACAUGUGCGAAUGAGCACAAAUGGCAAGCAAGCAAUGAUCCGUCUCAAGAACCAAGUCCUCAUGUCUAACAACAUGGAAUAUAUCAAGUAUCUCAAUGGCCUAUCUCUAUGUCAUCAUGUCUCUAACAUGGAAUGUAGCAGAUAUAUAGUGGCCUAUCAACAUGUCUCUACGUUGCAGUUUAAUAGUUUACUAGUUUCAAGUGCCCCUUAAUGACACUUUUGUUCAACG